AACGGUACAUAAAAUGUCGCGACUUUUGCGAAAUUACCGUUUUGCCAACACCGACCUUUCCUCGAUCAACGCGCGAUCUCCGCAGAUCCGUCUGUUCGAUUUACGAACGGAUUGCACCAGUGCGAUCAGCACGACGGAGACAACAAAGCUACGAUUUCGUUUCUCCUUGAUCGGUCUUGGAUUCGCGACGAACUCGGUCCAUCAUUCCAAUGAAAGAAACUACGCACAAAUACAUAUAAAACAUAUAUUUUCCAAUUUUAUCGAAAUCCGUACGUCAAACCCAAAAUCCGUCAGUGCCACUAGUUCCAGAAUAGCUGAACCGGUCGAAAC
Molecule: long non-coding RNA, 330 nt
Filed under: Ananas comosus (pineapple)
Lineage: Eukaryota; Viridiplantae; Streptophyta; Magnoliopsida; Poales; Bromeliaceae
Description: long non-coding RNA (ACOM_LNC040590)
Source: RNAcentral